UACGGGGGGGCAAGCGUUGUUCGGAAUUACUGGGCGUAAAGGGCUCGUAGGCGGCCAACUAAGUCAGACGUGAAAUCCCUCGGCUUAACCGGGGAACUGCGUCUGAUACUGGAUGGCUAGAGGUUGGGAGAGGGAUGCGGAAUUCUAGGUGUAGCGGUGAAAUGCGUAGAUAUCUGGAGGAACACCGGUGGCGAAGGCGGCAUCCUGGACCAAUUCUGACGCUGAGGAGCGAAAGCCAGGGGAGCAAACGGG
Molecule: ribosomal RNA, 252 nt
Filed under: uncultured bacterium
Lineage: Bacteria
Description: partial 16S ribosomal RNA
Rfam family: Bacterial small subunit ribosomal RNA
Source: RNAcentral